Molecule: ribosomal RNA, 794 nt
Filed under: uncultured Rheinheimera sp.
Lineage: Bacteria; Pseudomonadati; Pseudomonadota; Gammaproteobacteria; Chromatiales; Chromatiaceae
Description: bacterial SSU rRNA
Rfam family: Bacterial small subunit ribosomal RNA
Source: RNAcentral
GGCGGACGGGGUGAGUAAUGCGUAGGAAGCUACCCGAUAGAGGGGGAUGCCAGUUGGAAACGACUGUUUAAUACCGCAUAAUGUCUACGGACCAAAAGUGUGGGACCUUCGGGGCCACAUGCUAUCGGAUGCGCCUACGUGGGAUUAGCUAGUUUGGUGAGGUAAUGGCUCACCAAGGCGACGAUCCCUAGCUGGUUUGAGAGGGAUGAUCAGCCACACUGGAACUGAGACACGGUCCCAGACUCCUACGGGAGGCAGCAGUGGGGGAAUAUUGGACAAUGGGCGCAAGCCUGAUCCAGCCAUGCCGCGUGUGUGAAGAAGGCCCAUCGGGGUUGUAAAAGCACUUUCAGUUGGGAGGGAAGGGGUUGUGUGUUAAUAGUACACAGCCUUGACGUUACCAACAGAAGAAGCACCGGCUAACUCUGUGCCAGCAGCCGCGGUAAUACAGAGGGUGCAAGCGUUAAUCGGAAUUACUGGGCGUAAAGCGCACGUAGGCGGUUUUUUAAGUCAGAUGUGAAAGCCCCGGGCUCAACCUGGGAAUUGCAUUUGAAACUGGAAAACUAGAGUGUGUGAGAGGGGGGUAGAAUUCCAAGUGUAGCGGUGAAAUGCGUAGAGAUUUGGAGGAAUACCAGUGGCGAAGGCGGCCCCCUGGCACAACACUGACGCUCAGGUGCGAAAGCGUGGGGAGCAAACUAGGAUUAGAUACCCUGGUAGUCCACGCCGUAAACGAUGUCUACUAGCUGUUCGUGACCUUGUGUCGUGAGUAGCGCAGCUAACGCACUAAGUAGACCGCC